AUACGUAGGUGACAAGCGUUAUCCGGAUUUAUUGGGUUUAAAGGGAGCGCAGGCGGAGAUGCAAGCGUGACGUCAAAUUUCGGGGCUCAACCCCGUCUCGCGUCGCGAACUGCGUCCCUUGGUUGCGGGAAGGGGAGGCGGAACUCGUGGUGCAGCGGUGAAAUGCAUAGAUAUCACGAAGAACUCCGAUCGCGAAGGCAGCCUUCCGGCCCGUCAACGACGCUCAUGCUCGAAGGUGCGGGUAUCAAACAGGAUUAGAUACCCUGGUAGUCCGCACAGUAAACGAUGGACACCCGCGGUUUGGCCUGUAUGGCUGAGCCGCCAAGCGAAAGCGUUAAGUGUCCCACCUGGGGAGUACGCCGGCAACGGUGAAACUCAAAGGAAUUGACGGGG
This 393-nucleotide ribosomal RNA is filed under the name uncultured bacterium. RNAcentral describes it as "partial 16S ribosomal RNA". It matches the Rfam family "Bacterial small subunit ribosomal RNA", at positions 523 to 918 of the family's 1533-position model. The record is from RNAcentral.